Molecule: ribosomal RNA, 250 nt
Filed under: uncultured bacterium
Lineage: Bacteria
Description: partial 16S ribosomal RNA
Rfam family: Bacterial small subunit ribosomal RNA
Source: RNAcentral
UACGUAGGGUGCGAGCGUUAAUCGGAAUUACUGGGCGUAAAGCGUGCGCAGGCGGCGCGUUAAGACAGGUGUGAAAGCCCCGAGCUUAACUUGGGAAUUGCGCUUGUGACUGGCGUGCUGGAGUGUGGCAGAGGGAGGUGGAAUUCCACGUGUAGCAGUGAAAUGCGUAGAGAUGUGGAGGAACACCGAUGGCGAAGGCAGCCUCCUGGGCCAGCACUGACGCUCAUGCACGAAGCGUGGGAGCAAACAG